This 452-nucleotide ribosomal RNA is filed under the name uncultured bacterium. Its description in RNAcentral is "bacterial LSU rRNA". It matches the Rfam family "Bacterial large subunit ribosomal RNA", at positions 2184 to 2635 of the family's 2925-position model. The record is from RNAcentral.
AGUCAACCUUGAAAUACCACCCUGAUUUGUUUGAGGUUCUAACCUUGGUCCGUGAAUCCGGAUCGGGGACCGUGCAUGGUAGGCAGUUUGACUGGGGCGGUCUCCUCCCAAAAGGUAACGGAGGAGUACGAAGGUACGCUUAGGGCGGUCGGACAUCGCCCACAAAGUGCAAUGGCAAAAGCGUGCUUGACUGCGAGACCCACAAGUCGAGCAGGUACGAAAGUAGGUCAUAGUGAUCCGGUGGUUCUGUAUGGAAGGGCCAUCGCUCAACGGAUAAAAGGUACUCUGGGGAUAACAGGCUAAUUCCUCCCAAGAGUUCAUAUCGACGGGGGAGUUUGGCACCUCGAUGUCGGCUCAUCACAUCCUGGGGCUGUAGUCGGUCCCAAGGGUAUGGCUGUUCGCCAUUUAAAGUGGUACGCGAGCUGGGUUUAAACGUCGUGAGACAGUUUGGU